Molecule: transfer RNA, 75 nt
Filed under: Verrucomicrobia bacterium LW23
Lineage: Bacteria; Pseudomonadati; Verrucomicrobiota
Description: tRNA-Thr
Rfam family: tRNA
About the family: Transfer RNA (tRNA) molecules are approximately 80 nucleotides in length. Their secondary structure includes four short double-helical elements and three loops (D, anti-codon, and T loops).
Source: RNAcentral
GCCGGAUUAGCUCAGCGGUAGAGCAACGGUUUCGUAAACCGUAGGUCGCGGGUUCGAAUCCCGCAUCCGGCUCCA